This 542-nucleotide small RNA is filed under the name Pongo abelii (Sumatran orangutan). RNAcentral describes it as "processed transcript". The record is from RNAcentral. Lineage: Eukaryota; Metazoa; Chordata; Mammalia; Primates; Hominidae.
CCUCCUGAGGUGCUCUGGCCCCGGAUUCUCCCGGGCUGCAUUCUCUGCUCCUCCUCGCCUGCGAAGCAUCACGUCCGCUUCCCGACGCUGAGGGCAGCCCCAUCCAGGGUAUGUGGAGCUGGUGAACGCUGCCUGUAACUUCGAGCCACACGAGAGCUUCUUCAGCCUCUUCUCGGACCCCCGCAGCACCCGCCUCACGCGGAUCCACCUCCGCGAGGACCUGGUGCAGGACCAGGACCUGGAGGCCAUCCGCAAGCAGGACCUGGUGGAGCUGUACCUGACUAACUGCGAGAAGCUGUCCGCCAAGAGCCUGCAGACACUGAGGAGCUUCAGCCACACCCUGGUGUCCUUGAGCCUCUUCGGCUGUACAAACAUUUUCUAUGAGGAGGAGAACCCAGGGGGCUGUGAAGAUGAGUACCUCGUCAACCCCACCUGCCAGGUGCUGGUUAAGGAUUUUACCUUCGAGGGCUUCAGCCGCCUCCGCUUCCUCAACUUGGGCCGCAUGAUUGAUUGGGUCCCCGUGGAGUCCUUGCUGCGGCCGC